This 280-nucleotide unclassified non-coding RNA is filed under the name Helotiales sp. Its description in RNAcentral is "partial contains 5.8S ribosomal RNA, internal transcribed spacer 2, and large subunit ribosomal RNA". The stretch from base 1 to 71 matches the Rfam family "5.8S ribosomal RNA", at positions 84 to 154 of the family's 154-position model. The record is from RNAcentral. Lineage: Eukaryota; Fungi; Ascomycota; Leotiomycetes; Helotiales.
GUGAGUCAUCGAAUCUUUGAACGCACAUUGCGCCCCUUGGUAUUCCGAGGGGCAUGCCUGUUCGAGCGUCAUUAUGACCACUCAAGCUUAGGUGCUUGGUAUUGGGGUUCGCGGUCUCGCGGCUUCUAAAAUCAGUGGCGGUGCCGUCUGGCUCUAAGCGUAGUAAUUCUCUCGCUACAGGGUCCGGGCGGUUGCUUGCCAGAACCCCCCCCCAUCGUACGGUUGACCUCGGAUCAGGUAGGGAUACCCGCUGAACUUAAGCAUAUCAAUAAGCGGAGGA